Ceratotherium simum simum (southern white rhinoceros) is the source of this 85-nucleotide non-coding RNA. The record is from RefSeq and is a predicted model, not a curated record. Lineage: Eukaryota; Metazoa; Chordata; Mammalia; Perissodactyla; Rhinocerotidae.
GGACAGCACCAGGGUUGGUCAGAAGGCAGAGUGAGUGAGGGGGAAAUGUGGGCAAGAGCCUUUAUUGUGAAAGGGAAGGAAAGGG